CUCACAGACCGGUAUUUUCACUUGCUUAAGUCAGAGAGUCAUGCAGGAGCCAGAAUGAUGCGACUGCUUGCCUGAGUGGAAUAUUACAUUGAUCCUCCCAUACGACCAUGACUACGCUGGGAGAGACAAACCUUCAAGUGAAUAAAGUCGUAUCUCCUGAUACUCCUGAGGGAGUGCUGGGGCAGCCAGGUUCAGACUAAGAAAAGCACUACCAUGCAGCAAGCAAGAUUAAUCUUAAGGUCAUGCCUCCCUGAUCUGCUGAAUACAUUGGCCAAUUUUAACCGUAUGGGACAAAAGAGUGAAAGUUGGGACAAAAGAGUGAAAGUUUCAAAGACAACCAAGAUCCUAUAGAUUCCA
Molecule: long non-coding RNA, 357 nt
Filed under: Struthio camelus australis
Lineage: Eukaryota; Metazoa; Chordata; Aves; Struthioniformes; Struthionidae
Description: lncRNA (ENSSCUG00000008628.1)
Source: RNAcentral